Long non-coding RNA from Rhinichthys klamathensis goyatoka, 250 nucleotides. RefSeq lists it as uncharacterized. The transcript is spliced from 2 exons. The record is from RefSeq and is a predicted model, not a curated record. NCBI's taxonomy places the organism in Eukaryota, Metazoa, Chordata, Actinopteri, Cypriniformes, Leuciscidae.
UACAAAUUUCAGAAUGGUUGAAAUGAAGGUAUUGUAUUUGUAAUGUGGCAGAUGAAGAUGAUAUUGAAGACAAUGAGAAACAUUCGGAAGAACAUGAGGAAAAAUUAUACCAUGUGUACUGCACCAUCCCGGAUGAUUCUGUAGACACUCAUAUAUUAUACAGUCUGGCACAGAUGCCAGAUCAUUCUCUGCUAAUUUAAUUUCUCUUUUAUUUUAUCAUUAUAAUUAAAUAAACUGUCAUUUAAAGAGA